GCAAAACACAAAAAGACAGUCUCAGUUCAGAUUGUAGGCUGAAACUCGCCUAUAUGAAGUCGGAAUUGCUAGUAAUCGCAGAUCAGCAUGCUGCGGUGAAUACGUUCCCGGGCCUUGUACACACCGCCCGUCACACCAUGAGAGUCGAUAACACCCGAAGCCUGUAGUCUAACCAUAAGGAGGACGCAGUCGAAGGUGGGAUUGAUAAUUAGGGUGAAGUCGUAACAAGGUAAC
This 234-nucleotide ribosomal RNA is filed under the name uncultured bacterium. Its description in RNAcentral is "partial 16S ribosomal RNA". It matches the Rfam family "Bacterial small subunit ribosomal RNA", at positions 1267 to 1500 of the family's 1533-position model. The record is from RNAcentral.